Molecule: ribosomal RNA, 150 nt
Filed under: marine snow associated bacterium Adriatic76
Lineage: Bacteria
Description: partial 16S ribosomal RNA
Rfam family: Bacterial small subunit ribosomal RNA
Source: RNAcentral
UGAGAGGAUGAUCCGCCACACUGGAACUGGAACACGGACCAGACUCCUACGGGAGGCAGCAGUGAGGAAUAUUGCGCAAUGGGNNAAACCCUGAGCAGCGACGCCGCGUGGAUGAUGAAGGCUUUCGGGNNGUAAAAUCCUGUCAGAUGG